UGGCGAGCGGCGAACGGCUGAGUAACACGUUAGUACCUGCCCCAAACUCAGGGAUAAGCCCUGGAAACGAGGUCUAAUACCGGAUGUCCCAGUAAUGGGAAAGAUUUUAUCGGUUUGGGAGGGGCUUGCGACGUAUCACGCUUGUUGGUGAGGUAACUGCUCACCAAUGCUAUGACGCGUAUCUGGUGUGAGAGCACGACCAGACAGAGUGGGACUGAGACACGGACCACACUCCUACGGGAGGCAGCAGUGAGGAAUUUUCCACAAUGGGCGAAAGCCUGAUGGAGCAAUCUCGCGUGGAGGAUGACCACCUUUCGGGGCGUAAACUCCUUUUCUGAGGGAAGAAGUUCUGACGGUACCUCAGGACUAAAUGGCGGAUAAUACCGUGCCAACAGACGCGGUAAUACGGAAGCCCUAAGCGUAAUCCGGAAUCACUGGGCGUUAACGAAUCGAAGGUGACACAGUUAGUCUGACAUCAAAUCCCCUGCGGCUCAACCGAGGUUUCGUGUCGGAAACUGCUGGACUAGAGGAAUGCAGAGGAAACUGGAAUUUCUGUUGUAGGGGUAAAAUCCGUAGAUAACAGAAGGAACAACCAAAAGCGAAGGCAGGUUUCUGGGCAUUUCCAGACGCUGUGCGAUCGAAAGCGUGGGGAGCGAAAGGGAUUAGAUACCCCUGUAGUCCACGCCGUAAACGACGGAUACUCGGUGUAGGUAAGUUCAAUCCUUAUCUGUGCCUAAGCUAACGCGAUAAGUAUCCCGCCUGGGGAGUACGGUCGCAAGACUAAAACUCAAAGGAAUAGACGGGGAUCCACACAAGCGGUGGAGCAUCUGGUUUAAUUCGAUAACAAGCGGAGAACCUUACCAGGACUUGACAUCCCGAGAAUUUUCUAGAAAUAGAAAAGUGCCUUUUUAAGGAAUUCGGUGACAGGUGUUGCAUGGUUGUCGUCAGCUCGUGCCUUGAGGUGUGCGGUUAAGUCCGUGAACGAGCGCAACCCUCGUCGUACGUUGUAUUUUUCGUGCGAGACUGCCCGUUUUACGCGGGAGGAAGGUGAGGAUGACGUCAAAUCAGCAUGACCCUUAUGUUCUGGGCGACACAGGUGCUACAAUGGUUGGUACAAAGGGUAGCCAAGUCGUAAGAUGGAGCCAAUCCCAAAAAACCAAUCUCAGUUCGGAUUGAGGUCUGCAACUCGACCUCAUGAAGCUGGAAUCGCUAGUAACCGUGAAUCAGCCAUGUCACGGUGAAUAUGUUCCUGGAUCUUGUACUCACCGCCCGUCAAGUCACGAAAGGUAGGGGCGCCCGAAG
Molecule: ribosomal RNA, 1302 nt
Filed under: uncultured organism
Description: bacterial SSU rRNA
Rfam family: Bacterial small subunit ribosomal RNA
Source: RNAcentral